Molecule: long non-coding RNA, 1591 nt
Organism: Vitis vinifera (wine grape)
Lineage: Eukaryota; Viridiplantae; Streptophyta; Magnoliopsida; Vitales; Vitaceae
Exons: 3
Source: RefSeq, a predicted model, not a curated record
AAAAUUCUAUUAUAUAUAUAUAUUUCUUUUUAUAUAUAUGUUUUUUCUCUGAUUUUCUUUUAGCAAACAUACCCUUAAAAGAAAUUGAAUAAAUCUAUAUGAAGAGUUUGGCAUACUCCCACAAUGAAGAUGGUCAUGGGCCAAGCAAAAUGCAGAGCCCAUUUGGGACUUGAACAUGGCCAUUUCUUAUACCAACAGCUAGUGGCUGACUGAUCAGCUUCACCCCAUCACUAUUAUCAGCCCAAACUCUUCUGGAGCGGAUGGGGAUAAGAAGCAGUACUAGUUACUGCAUCCAUAAUUUAUUGACCUUAAGCCUUAGUCAUGUGGGUGAGCAUUUGGUGAAGUGAAUUUCCUUCUAUUUUCGCCACUUUCUUUUAUUUUCCACACAAACAAACAGAACUUGCAAUCACAAUUAUGGAGAAUUGGCACUAGGUACUUUGUCUUGUUGCUCAUAGGGAACAAACAAUGAUGGGAUUCAAGAAGUCCCAGCAACCCAGCCUCCCAAGUCAUCUGCCCGUUCAAAUGUACCCUGAAUUCAGCUCUUUUGAUUAGGUUGAGAAAUUUUGGUGAAGAGAGAAUCCUUUUUCUUCAUCUUAUAUCACAACUAAUCUCUUCUGCAUGGUGGGUUCUGCAUUUAGUGCAUAGAAAACCAAAUUGUGAUCUUGGUCUUCCUCAUUCCAAAAAAGGGGGAGACCCCACAAAAGAAAUCCAACCAUUUUCAAAGCUCAUUUCAACAAAUGGGUGUAAGAAUUUCAAUAUUAUUUCAUGAGAUGGUAUUUGAAUCUCACCAAAAAGCUGAGAUGAAUUUUACAUAUUUGGUAAGAGAAACAAAGGAGAUAUCUCAUCUACACACUCUGCACUGCAUAAAUAGAAAAACAAAAAGCGUAAAAAAUCCAAAUCCCAACCCAAACAAUGAAAAAAUAGAAUAAAGAGAAAGAGAGAAAGAGAGAAAAAGACCAUGAACAAUUCAAAAACACAGAGCUGAAAAACUCUAGAAGUAGAGAAGGAAGGAAGAGUUGUCUUGAAGGGAAGAGGGACUGGAGAGACGGAGAUUCCUGAUAUUGAGGGCACCCAUAUUAUGCCUUGGGAGGAACAGCUGCUCUGUCAUCCUUGCCAGCACCACGGUGUAUUCCUCUAGCAGCUCUGUAAUCACAGCCACCAUUAUCAUCUUCUCUUCCUCUCUGAAAGCUUUUGCUCAAUGGCUAUUUCAAAGGGAGCCCUUCAAGGUUGAGAGGCCAAGUAAUGAUUUUUCCUUCUAAGCUUCCGGUGUGGUGGUUAUAUUGAGAUUGAAGGAGGAGGUGUAAUGAAGCCAAACUUAUAAGCUAAUGGGAUUGACCUACUUUAAUUUGUGGCUGAUGAUGUGUGGGGUAGAGUGAACUGAGUUGAAGAAUCAAGGGUGGAGAUGCAGUGGUUUCCAAGUUUGAAAUUCAGUGUUGGCACCGGUCUGGCCCUACAACUCCUUGGGACAUCAGAAAAUGCAAGGAAGGGACUAUUGGCGCACACCCUUGCUGACCUGUUAGAUAUAAUUGAAAGUGCAAGGACUUUUCACAAAACUUACCAAACAAGGCGAAAGAAGGAAGGAGAAGCAACC